This 75-nucleotide transfer RNA is filed under the name Amycolatopsis lurida. Its description in RNAcentral is "tRNA_Val_TAC". It matches the Rfam family "tRNA". From Rfam's summary of the family: Transfer RNA (tRNA) molecules are approximately 80 nucleotides in length. Their secondary structure includes four short double-helical elements and three loops (D, anti-codon, and T loops). RNAcentral also lists the same sequence under 19 other names. Lineage: Bacteria; Bacillati; Actinomycetota; Actinomycetes; Pseudonocardiales; Pseudonocardiaceae. The record is from RNAcentral.
GGGCGCAUAGCUCAGCGGGAGAGCACUCGGUUUACACCCGAGCGGUCGUAGGUUCGAUCCCUACUGCGCCCACCG